ACAUUGGAAUCCUCACCAGAUCUCCGUCGUGGGCUUCCAGGACUUCUAAGAUACAAAAGAGAGUCCCAGGAAAGAACGUACAGUCCUCAGCCCCAACAGCAACUGGACUCUCCAAUAUGCUGUCAGUUCUGUGGUUCGAGAGCUUGGCCGCCUCUGGAUCCGGUUUAUGCAGAGACACGAGAGGACUUCUGCUGUGAGAAAUACAGAGAGUUGUUUGAGAUUGUGGUCCAUGAAAAGCAUCUAGCUAUGGAACGUUCUGAUGCAAGGCCUAGUGGACCUGCUCGACUAGAUGACCCCUUCAUCACUGAGGACGAAGAACUACAAGAUAAAGCACAAGAAAGAGGAAAACGCAGGUUUGUGUUGUACAAUACACUUAUGUUCUGG
This 384-nucleotide long non-coding RNA is filed under the name Sinocyclocheilus grahami. Its description in RNAcentral is "lncRNA (ENSSGRG00000012585.1)". Lineage: Eukaryota; Metazoa; Chordata; Actinopteri; Cypriniformes; Cyprinidae. The record is from RNAcentral.